This 252-nucleotide ribosomal RNA is filed under the name uncultured bacterium. Its description in RNAcentral is "partial 16S ribosomal RNA". It matches the Rfam family "Bacterial small subunit ribosomal RNA", at positions 524 to 776 of the family's 1533-position model. The record is from RNAcentral.
UACGGAGGAUGCGAGCGUUAUCCGGAUUUAUUGGGUUUAAAGGGUGCGUAGGCGGAGUGCCAAGUCAGCGGUAAAAAUUCGGGGCUCAACCCCGUCGUGCCGUUGAAACUGGCGCCCUUGAGUGGGCGAGAAGUAUGCGGAAUGCGUGGUGUAGCGGUGAAGUGCAUAGAUAUCACGCAGAACCCCGAUUGCGAAGGCAGCAUACCGGCGCCCGACUGACGCUGAAGCACGAAAGCGUGGGUAUCGAACAGG